Non-coding RNA from Ciona intestinalis (vase tunicate), 711 nucleotides. The record is from RefSeq and is a predicted model, not a curated record. Lineage: Eukaryota; Metazoa; Chordata; Ascidiacea; Phlebobranchia; Cionidae.
UGCAUAUACAAUGUUGGGGUAAUGGGCCAACUCUGGUCCAAAUCCCAGGUUGCAUGUAACUUCACCCACAUAAAAUAAACACAACCAGAAGUACUAACACUUUACUUUACAGAACCAACAACAGGUAGUUACUCCCAUCUCAACACAAUCUAUUCCUAAUUAUUCUGUGCCACAGAACCCCCAACCAUUAGCAACCCCCAUGGCAACCCCCAUGUCACCUGCAACUACACCACCAACCCAACAACCCCUUCCCCCACCUAACUAUGAUGAGCAACGAGUGCCACUAGCUCCCUCAACUGGGCAAGCCUUCCGACAAGAACCCCCUGCACCGUCCGCAACCCAUGAACGAACCCCGGCAAUGCAAAUGUAGCCCCUCCUCCGUACAAACCAACCAACACCAUCUUGCUACCCUGAUCACAUCAACCUUACCCUGUGUGUCGACUUGAAUCCACGUUCUGCCGUGAUCUUUGAGUUCACCAUGUCGAUCACUCCGUCGAACCCUCCAUCGGUACCAGCCUUCUUUGUUAUUUCUAUGGCUUCUGCUUCACUAAGAUUUCUAUCCCAUAGCACAGUUCCGUCAGCUCCUCUCUCUAACGCCACCUUAAGGUUCUUUUCCUGUAUGAGUGAGACCACUGCAUGGUAACAUACACGCAACUUCAAGGGGAAUAGAUGGGGGAACUUUGACUAAAUAUUUUUUCUCACGAACCCAAA